AGUUUGGCUCAGAUUUUUCCCAAGCAUCACGUCAAUGAGCCCUUCUACUGGUUCACCUCGGUUCUCAGGUCCCUCCUUUCUUAGGUCUAAACCUUUGAUAGGCAAAGUCUCCCUUGAUUGUUUCCCUAGACUAUCGUCAUAAAGCACUCCUUGGUGAGCAUCUGAUCGCCUCUCAUCUCUCCUAUCUCAUUCUUGGUCA
RNAcentral lists this long non-coding RNA (199 nucleotides) under Elaeis guineensis (African oil palm). Its description in RNAcentral is "long non-coding RNA (EGUI_LNC005188)". Lineage: Eukaryota; Viridiplantae; Streptophyta; Magnoliopsida; Arecales; Arecaceae. The record is from RNAcentral.